Molecule: ribosomal RNA, 381 nt
Filed under: uncultured marine Chaetocerotaceae
Lineage: Eukaryota; Bacillariophyta; Thalassiosirophyceae; Chaetocerotales; Chaetocerotaceae
Description: SSU rRNA
Rfam family: Eukaryotic small subunit ribosomal RNA
Source: RNAcentral
AGCUCCAAUAGCGUAUAUUAAAGUUGCUGCAGUUAAAAAGCUCGUAGUUGCAUUUCCGAGGCAAGGGAUUAGUCCGACCUUUGGUGGGUAUUUAAUCCUCUUGCCUCGUCCUUGAGUGGUGCUUCUUGGUAUUAAGUUAUCGAGGAGAUAGCCGCUCAUCGUUUACUGUGAGAAAAUUAGAGUGUUCAAAGCAGGCUUAUGCCGUUGAAUAUAUUAGCAUGGAAUAAUAAGAGAGGACCUCGGUACUAUUUUGUUGGUUUGAGAACCAAGGUAAUGAUGAAUAGGGACAGUUGGGAGUAUUCGUAUUCAGUUGUCAGAGGUGAAAUUCUUAGAUUUACGGAAGACGAACUACUGCGAAAGCAUUUACCAAGGAUGUUUUCA